GACGAACGCUGGCGGCGUGCUUAACACAUGCAAGUCGAACGGAAAGGCCCCUUUGGGGGUACUCGAGUGGCGAACGGGUGAGUAACACGUGAGUAACCUGCCCUUGACUUCGGGAUAACUUCAGGAAACUGGGGCUAAUCCCGGAUAGGAAUCCUUGCUGCAUGGGGGGGGUUGGAAAGCUUCGGCGGUUUUGGAUGGGUUGGCGAGUUAUCAGCUUUUUGGUGGGGUAGUGGCUUACCAGGGCUUUGACGGGAAGCGGGCCUGAGAGAGUGACCGGCCACAUUGGGACCUAGAUGCGGCAGAGACUCCGACGGGAGGAAGAAGGGGGGAAUAUUGAACCAUGGGCGGCAGCCUGAUGCAGCAAGGCCGCGGGCGGGAUGACGGCCUUCGGAUUGUAGACAGCUUUCAGCAGGGGCGAAGCUUGUGGUGACGGUACCUGCAGAAGAAGCACCGGCUAACUACGUG
Molecule: ribosomal RNA, 465 nt
Filed under: uncultured bacterium
Lineage: Bacteria
Description: partial 16S ribosomal RNA
Rfam family: Bacterial small subunit ribosomal RNA
Source: RNAcentral